GACGAACGCUGGCGGCGUGCUUAACACAUGCAAGUCGAGCGGUAAGGCCCUUCGGGGUACACGAGCGGCGAACGGGUGAGUAACACGUGGGUGACCUGCCUCUAGCUCUGGGAUAAGCCUGGGAAACUGGGUCUAAUACCGGAUAUGACUCCACGGCGCAUGUUGUGGUGUGGAAAGCCUUGUGUGGCUAGAGAUGGGCCCGCGGCCUAUCAGCUUGUUGGUGGGGGAUGGCCUACCAAGGCGACGACGGGUAGCCGGCCUGAGAGGGCGACCGGCCACACUGGGACUGAGACACGGCCCAGACUCCUACGGGAGGCAGCAGUGGGGAAUCUUGCGCAAUGGGCGAAAGCCUGACGCAGCGACGCCGCGUGA
Molecule: ribosomal RNA, 372 nt
Filed under: uncultured bacterium
Lineage: Bacteria
Description: bacterial SSU rRNA
Rfam family: Bacterial small subunit ribosomal RNA
Source: RNAcentral